RNAcentral lists this ribosomal RNA (370 nucleotides) under uncultured bacterium. Its description in RNAcentral is "bacterial SSU rRNA". It matches the Rfam family "Bacterial small subunit ribosomal RNA", at positions 527 to 896 of the family's 1533-position model. The record is from RNAcentral.
GUAGGUGGCAAGCGUUGUCCGGAAUUACUGGGUGUAAAGGGAGCGCAGGCGGGUGAUCAAGUCAGCUGUGAAAACUACGGGCUUAACCCGUAGACUGCAGUUGAAACUGUUCAUCUUGAGUGAAGUAGAGGUUGGCGGAAUUCCGAGUGUAGCGGUGAAAUGCGUAGAUAUUCGGAGGAACACCGGUGGCGAAGGCGGCCAACUGGGCUUUAACUGACGCUGAGGCUCGAAAGUGUGGGUAGCAAGCAGGAUUAGAUACCCUGGUAGUCCACACCGUAAACGAUGAUUACUAGGUGUUGGAGGAUUGACCCCUUCAGUGCCGCAGUUAACACAAUAAGUAAUCCACCUGGGGAGUACGACCGCAAGGUUG